CGACCUCGGAUCAGAC
Molecule: ribosomal RNA, 16 nt
Filed under: Phyllodistomum folium
Lineage: Eukaryota; Metazoa; Platyhelminthes; Trematoda; Plagiorchiida; Gorgoderidae
Description: partial 28S ribosomal RNA
Source: RNAcentral